GGUUGUGUGUUUGUGUGUGU
This 20-nucleotide microRNA is filed under the name Corchorus olitorius. Its description in RNAcentral is "bta-miR-23". Lineage: Eukaryota; Viridiplantae; Streptophyta; Magnoliopsida; Malvales; Malvaceae. The record is from RNAcentral.